AGGAUGAACGCUAGCGGCAGGCCUAAUACAUGCAAGUCGAACGGUAAGUAGAGUAGCAAUACUUUACCAAGAGUGACGCACGGGUGCGUAACACGUAUGCAACCUACCCUUUACAGGAGUAUAGCUCGGGGAAACUCGAAUUAACACUUCAUAGUAUAAUUGAAUGGCAUCAUUUGGUUAUUAAAUCUGAGGAGGUAAAGGAUGGGCAUGCGUCUGAUUAGCUAGUUGGUAGUGUAAUGGACUACCAAGGCGAUGAUCAGUAGGGGAACUGAGAGGUUGAUCCCCCAACUGGCACUGAGAUACGGGCCGAGUCCUACGGAGGCAGCAGUAGGGAAUAUUGGUCAAUGGGUGAGAGCUGAACCAGCCAGUGCCGCGUGCGAGGAAGACGGUCCUUCGUGGGUUGUAAACUGCUUUUGUACAGGGUAUAAAUUUCCUUGACGAGGUAAAAUGAAGGUCCUAGGCGAAUAACGCCAACGGACUUAAACCUACGGUCGACCCGAAGCGAACGGCCCGU
This 514-nucleotide ribosomal RNA is filed under the name uncultured soil bacterium. RNAcentral's name for it is "bacterial SSU rRNA". It matches the Rfam family "Bacterial small subunit ribosomal RNA", at positions 34 to 540 of the family's 1533-position model. The record is from RNAcentral.